RNAcentral lists this ribosomal RNA (465 nucleotides) under Vreelandella stevensii. RNAcentral describes it as "partial 16S ribosomal RNA". It matches the Rfam family "Bacterial small subunit ribosomal RNA", at positions 338 to 795 of the family's 1533-position model. Lineage: Bacteria; Pseudomonadati; Pseudomonadota; Gammaproteobacteria; Oceanospirillales; Halomonadaceae. The record is from RNAcentral.
CCUACGGGCGGCAGCAGUGGGGAAUAUUGGACAAUGGGGGCAACCCUGAUCCAGCCAUGCCGCGUGUGUGAAGAAGGCCCUCGGGUUGUAAAGCACUUUCAGUGAGGAAGAACGCCUGGUGGUUAAUACCCAUCAGGAAAGACAUCACUCACAGAAGAAGCACCGGCUAACUCCGUGCCAGCAGCCGCGGUAAUACGGAGGGUGCGAGCGUUAAUCGGAAUUACUGGGCGUAAAGCGCGCGUAGGUGGCUUGAUAAGCCGGUUGUGAAAGCCCCGGGCUCAACCUGGGAACGGCAUCCGGAACUGGCAAGCUAGAGUGCAGGAGAGGAAGGUAGAAUUCCCGGUGUAGCGGUGAAAUGCGUAGAGAUCGGGAGGAAUACCAGUGGCGAAGGCGGCCUUCUGGACUGACACUGACACUGAGGUGCGAAAGCGUGGGUAGCAAACAGGAUUAGAUACCCUUGUAGUC